AUUGAACGCUGGCGGCAUGCCUUACACAUGCAAGUCGAACGGUAACAGGUCUUCGGAUGCUGACGAGUGGCGAACGGGUGAGUAAUACAUCGGAACGUGCCUAGUAGUGGGGGAUAACUACUCGAAAGAGUGGCUAAUACCGCAUGAGAUCUACGGAUGAAAGCAGGGGAUCGCAAGACCUUGUGCUACUAGAGCGGCCGAUGGCAGAUUAGGUCGUUGGUGGGAUAAAAGCUUACAAAGCCGACGACCUGUAGCUGGUCUGAAAGGACGAUCAGCCACACUGGGACUGAGACACGGACCAGACUCCUACGGGAGGCAGCAGUGGGGAAUUUUGGACAAUGGGCGAAAGCCUGAUCCAGCAAUGCCGCGUGCAGGAUGAAGGCCUUCGGGUUGUAAACUGCUUUUGUACGGAACGAAAAGCCCCGGGUUAAUACCCUGGGGUCAUGACGGUACCGUAAGAAUAAGCACCGGCUAACUACGUGCCAGCAGCCGCCGUAA
RNAcentral lists this ribosomal RNA (498 nucleotides) under uncultured bacterium. RNAcentral's name for it is "partial 16S ribosomal RNA". It matches the Rfam family "Bacterial small subunit ribosomal RNA", at positions 30 to 523 of the family's 1533-position model. The record is from RNAcentral.